This 101-nucleotide transfer RNA is filed under the name Pseudomassariella vexata. It matches the Rfam family "tRNA". Rfam says of the family: Transfer RNA (tRNA) molecules are approximately 80 nucleotides in length. Their secondary structure includes four short double-helical elements and three loops (D, anti-codon, and T loops). Lineage: Eukaryota; Fungi; Ascomycota; Sordariomycetes; Amphisphaeriales; Pseudomassariaceae. The record is from Rfam by way of RNAcentral.
GGUGAGAUGGCCGAGUUGGUUAUGGCGCCAGGUUAAGGUUUCAAUCUUAGCAACAUAUCCUGGUGGGGCAACCCUCGUGGGUUCGAAUCCCACUCUCAUCA